RNAcentral lists this ribosomal RNA (463 nucleotides) under uncultured bacterium. RNAcentral describes it as "bacterial SSU rRNA". It matches the Rfam family "Bacterial small subunit ribosomal RNA", at positions 331 to 792 of the family's 1533-position model. The record is from RNAcentral.
CCAGACUCCUACGGGAGGCAGCAGUGAGGAAUAUUGGUCAAUGGGCGAGAGCCUGAACCAGCCAAGCCGCGUGAGGGAGGAAGGUACAGGGCAUCGUAAACCUCUUUUGUCAGGGAACAAAGGCGGGGACGUGUCCCCGGAUGAGUGUACCUGAAGAAAAAGCAUCGGCUAACUCCGUGCCAGCAGCCGCGGUAAUACGGAGGAUGCGAGCGUUAUCCGGAUUUAUUGGGUUUAAAGGGUGCGCAGGCGGAUUUUUAAGUCAGCGGUAAAAUCGUGGGGCUCAACCCCAUCCAGCCGUUGAAACUGGGGAUCUAGAGUGUGCGAGAGGUAUGCGGAAUGCGUGGUGUAGCGGUGAAAUGCAUAGAUAUCACGCAGAACUCCGAUUGCGAAGGCAGCAUACCGGCGCCCAACUGACGCUGAAGCACGAAAGCGUGGGUAUCGAACAGGAUUAGAUACCCGCGUA